CAUCUCCACAGGGCUACCCUGAAUUAGGAACACCUCUACACGGGGAAACAUGGUCGACAGACCCAUCAUGUCCAGAUAGUCCUGAGGAAACCAUUGGGGUGAAACAGAUCUGUUUGGUUGAGGAUAUUAAUAAGUAUCCUGCAGGUCCAAUCGUGGGGGCAGGUGAGGACUGGAGGGGAGUGGUCAGUGUGUUGAAAUGACUUUCUGCAGAGGUUCGCUACUUCCAGAGGUAUGUGUAGUUGAAAAUCAAACACAGUCAACACAGAAAUGUUAAAAUAACGUCAAGAUCGAACAGCUAUCAUUUACCUUUGAACGCAUCGUUGUACGUGCAUGGCUGACAUAGCGGCUCUGAUGCGUUUACGGCCAUAGCUGAGUGUCUGGAGCCCCGGCUGCGGUGAUCACACCCACUCACCCUAAACCUGCUCCACUGACAAAAGCCAUACAAAGCCACGGAAACAAGACCGUCGAAGACCCCACUCGUUUAUUUUUCUGCAUCUGGUCUGUACCGAGAUGCGUUCAGGUAUCUAGCGUUUAUUCCGGGAGAACAGACGCCGACACGGUUGUCGAUCUUUGUCCGUGAUCCGUAGUUUCCUCGCAGGUGACGACGCCCGCUCGUAUCCGCAAAGUGACGAACUCAUCCAUAAUAGACCCAAGAUGAACCAUCCAUGUAAGCGAUAAAACUACAAAUGAAAUUAAAAAGAACACGGGAGUGUCCACACCCUUCAGUUGAUUCAGCAGCCAUGCAGUUAGAGCCGGUGAAUUUCAUAUGCGCGCGCGCGCGCGCAAGCACACACACAUAACGGGGAUCAGGCUUUGUGAUGAUGUCAUCUUUUUAAGAUGCGGUUCUCAGCAUCACUUGUUGAUGGAGUUUCCUUGAGUGACCGACUCAUAGAAACUAACAGUACAAGUAUUUUCACCUGCCGGGUUGGGCCACACAGAUGGGUCACUGGAGAUUUUUCAGGGACAUUGAAUUAAUUAGCGUUUUUUUAGAGCUCGGUCUCAUUCUUUUUUCUCUUUGUUUCUAAAUAAGUACAGCCUAGCUUUCUACGCUAACCUACAGGGGGCAGGGGGUGAUAUUAACACAGCUUCAAUACCCUGUUCUAUCAGGCGAGUGUGACACGAUUUCAAACCGAGAAAUUACCCCCCCACCAGAACAAGUGAUAGACUUUGCUAGCUGUUAGCUUUUGGAAAUAAGUUAUUCAAUUAACUACAGUUUAGGAAGCAGAAUGUAGGACUAUUUUUAUAACCAGACCUAACAUUCCAAUUUUAAAGUAAUAUAAAAUACCUCAGCUUUGUCCCUCAUCAGAUGUCUCUGCAGAGUUCAGAGUGAUUUGGCAGUUGUACCUCAGUUACCCUUUCUAAUGCACCACACCCUUGGCUUUGGGGAUUAGCUGGUGUUGACCUGGAACCUUCCACACAGCAGGCUGGAGCUUUACCACUAUAACACUGCAGUUCAAAUAGUCUAAAAUAUUUCACCUAAAUUCAUUCGAUACACUAUAUACUUAAGAAUUCAAACUGGCAAACACAUAUAUACAUUCAUAUACAGAGUGAAAUUAAUAUAUACAGUAUAUGCACAAUUACUGAUAUUUUAAUGACCUAUAACUUAAGAUGUUAGUGGCAGCACUUGAAGUCUGCAAAUAACUAAUGACUUAGCUUUAGUUGUUCAUUAUUUCAUAGAUGAUCAUGGAAGCACAAACCACCUGUGGGCUUGGUUUAUUAUUAAAUACAAAAAUCAGACAUGAUUCCUCAAUUAACUCGAUCAAUACUCAAAAUCCAUCCUUAUAAAAUAGAAUUGAUGUAUAAAGUUCAUCACAGUUUUACAGUAUCCAAAGUAUACAGUCUGAAAUAAAAAUCCAGGUCUUGGAAAAGAUGAAUAUAUUUAAAUAGUGUAUCGAGGAGUAAAGCUACUGAUACUACUGUAAUACCAGUGUGGUGUAGAAAAGCGA
Long non-coding RNA from Cynoglossus semilaevis (tongue sole), 1946 nucleotides. RefSeq lists it as uncharacterized. The record is from RefSeq and is a predicted model, not a curated record. The transcript is spliced from 2 exons. NCBI's taxonomy places the organism in Eukaryota, Metazoa, Chordata, Actinopteri, Pleuronectiformes, Cynoglossidae.